This is a long non-coding RNA of Sapajus apella (tufted capuchin), 216 nucleotides long. RefSeq lists it as uncharacterized. The transcript is spliced from 3 exons. The record is from RefSeq and is a predicted model, not a curated record. Lineage: Eukaryota; Metazoa; Chordata; Mammalia; Primates; Cebidae.
AAAAGUGGAAUUAGAAUAAAAAGAUGAAAAUAUAAACUUUAUCUCUCAACAUAAACUCCAUCAAGUUCAAGACACGUUUGUAAGCAAUGAUACCAGCCACUUAGUCUAUCCCUGAAGAGCUGAGUUUCCUGGGAAUUUAACCACAUCAAUAUAGUCUUUUUUACAUUAUUAACUGAAGAAAAAUUGGUGUCCUUUAAAGAUUUUUUAAGAUUAGGA